GUGUCAGCCGCCGCGGUAAGACAGAGGGUGCAAACGUUGCUCGGAAUCACUGGGCGUAAAGGGCGUGUAGGCGGGGAAGUAAGUCGGGCGUGAAAUCCCCAGGCUCAACCUGGGAACUGCACUCGAAACUACUUCUCUUGAGUACCGGAGAGGAAAGCGGAAUACCUGGUGUAGAGGUGAAAUUCGUAGAUAUCAGGUGGAACACCAGUGGCGAAGGCGGCUUUCUGGACGGUAACUGACGCUGAGACGCGAAAGCGUGGGGAGCAAACAGGAUUAGAAACCCUGGUAGUCC
This 292-nucleotide ribosomal RNA is filed under the name uncultured bacterium. RNAcentral describes it as "partial 16S ribosomal RNA". It matches the Rfam family "Bacterial small subunit ribosomal RNA", at positions 505 to 796 of the family's 1533-position model. The record is from RNAcentral.